Molecule: ribosomal RNA, 119 nt
Filed under: Medicago truncatula (barrel medic)
Lineage: Eukaryota; Viridiplantae; Streptophyta; Magnoliopsida; Fabales; Fabaceae
Source: RNAcentral
GAACUAGAUAAUAUCAGCAUUAAUGAACCGGAUCUCAUCAUAACUCCGUAGUUAAGUGUGUUUGGUCAAAAGUAGUAUUAAGAUCGAUGACCUCAUGAAAAGUUCUUAUGUUUGAAAAA